UUAUUGUUAUCUAAUCUUUUUUACUAUUUCUCUUCUCCUCCAUUUUUGACUAUUGAGUUAUGUCAGAAUUUUAUUUUCUUUUAUAUGUAUUGUUUCCUUCCUUAUUUUUUUUUCUUUUUUUUUUUUAUUAUCAUUCUCUUAAUUUUUAUUUUGAUUUAAUUCUCAUUCUUUUAUCAUCAUGUUAAUAGAUUUCUCUUUUAUCCCUCUUUUUUUUUAUUUUUUCAUUUUUAUUUUCUUAUUUAAUACAUAUCUUUCUCUAUUGUCUCUUUCUUGUCUAUCUUUCCUUUAUUCUUUUUUCUGUCUCCUUUUUAUUUGUAUUUUUUUCGACUACCUUCUUUUUUUUUUUUUUUUUUUUCUUCUUUUUCUCUUUUUUUUUUCACUUUUCACUUUAAUAUUUUUUAUUUUACUAUUUUUUUUCUCUUCUUCUAACUCCUAUUCAGUGGUUUAUUUUUCUCUUCCUUUUUGUUUUUUUUUUAAUUUUUUCAUGUCUUAUCAUGGUAUUUUUUUGCUUCUUUUCAAAUUAUUUUUUUAUGGGAUCUACUUUGUCGCCCGUCUCAAUUUUACAAAAUCUUUCCUAGUUCGGACCCGNCUUUCAUAUCUNGUCCAAGAAAUGGAAUCGCUAGUAAUCGUGGUUUAGCACGCCACGGUGAAUACUUUNCGGGGCUUGUACNCACCGCCCAGUCACACCAAUGGGAGUUGUUUUUACUUGAAGACGGUUGCGAUAACCAGCAAUGCAGGCAGCCGCCCACGGUAGGUUCAGCGAUCGGGGUGAAGUCGUAACAACGUAA
This 788-nucleotide ribosomal RNA is filed under the name uncultured Bradyrhizobium sp. Its description in RNAcentral is "partial 16S ribosomal RNA". Lineage: Bacteria; Pseudomonadati; Pseudomonadota; Alphaproteobacteria; Hyphomicrobiales; Nitrobacteraceae. The record is from RNAcentral.